GAUGAACGCUGGCGGCGUGCCUAAUACAUGCAAGUCGAGCGAACGGACGAGAAGCUUGCUUCUCUGAUGUUAGCGGCGGACGGGUGAGUAACACGUGGAUAACCUACCUAUAAGACUGGGAUAACUUCGGGAAACCGGAGCUAAUGCCGGAUAAUAUUUUGAACCGCAUGGUUCAAAAGUGAAAGACGGUCUUGCUGUCACUUAUAGAUGGAUCCGCGCUGCAUUAGCUAGUUGGUAAGGUAACGGCUUACCAAGGCAACGAUGCAUAGCCGACCUGAGAGGGUGAUCGGCCACACUGGAACUGAGACACGGUCCAGACUCCUACGAGAGGCAGCAGUAGGGAAUCUUCCGCAAUGGGCGAAAGCCUGACGGAGCAACGCCGCGUGAGUGAUGAAGGUCUUCGGAUCGUAAAACUCUGUUAUUAGGGAAGAACAUAUGUGUAAGUAACUGUGCACAUCUUGACGGUACCUAAUCAGAAAGCCACGGCUAACUACGUG
This 497-nucleotide ribosomal RNA is filed under the name uncultured bacterium. RNAcentral describes it as "partial 16S ribosomal RNA". It matches the Rfam family "Bacterial small subunit ribosomal RNA", at positions 28 to 507 of the family's 1533-position model. The record is from RNAcentral.